RNAcentral lists this ribosomal RNA (495 nucleotides) under uncultured bacterium. Its description in RNAcentral is "partial 16S ribosomal RNA". It matches the Rfam family "Bacterial small subunit ribosomal RNA", at positions 29 to 506 of the family's 1533-position model. The record is from RNAcentral.
AUGAACGCUGGCGGCGUGCCUAAUACAUGCAAGUCGAGCGAACAGACGAGGAGCUUGCUCCUCUGAUGUUAGCGGCGGACGGGUGAAUAACACGUGGAUAACCUACCUAUAAGACUGGGAUAACUUCGGGAAACCGGAGCUAAUACCGGAUAACAUGUUGAACCGCAUGGUUCAACAGUGAAAGACGGUCUUGCUGUCACUUAUAGAUGGAUCCGCGCCGCAUUAGCUAGUUGGUAAGGUAACGGCUUACCAAGGCAACGAUGCGUAGCCGACCUGAGAGGGUGAUCGGCCACACUGGAACUGAGACACGGUCCAGACUCCUACGGGAGGCAGCAGUAGGGAAUCUUCCGCAAUGGGCGAAAGCCUGACGGAGCAACGCCGCGUGAGUGAAGAAGGUCUUCGGAUCGUAAAACUCUGUUAUUAGGGAAGAACAAAUGUGUAAGUAACUAUGCACGUCUUGACGGUACCUAAUCAGAAAGCCACGGCUAACUACGU